CGAUCGGUAGACGCUACGGACUUGAAAAUCCGUUGGUUUUAUUGACCGUGAGGGUUCAAGUCCCUCUACCCCCA
RNAcentral lists this transfer RNA (74 nucleotides) under Aulacomnium turgidum. RNAcentral's name for it is "partial tRNA-Leu". The record is from RNAcentral. Lineage: Eukaryota; Viridiplantae; Streptophyta; Bryopsida; Aulacomniales; Aulacomniaceae.